GAUGAACGCUGGCGGCGUGCCUAAUACAUGCAAGUCGAGCGAACAGACGAGGAGCUUGCUCCUCUGACGUUAGCGGCGGACGGGUGAGUAACACGUGGAUAACCUACCAAUAAGACUGGGAUAACUUCGGGAAACCGGAGCUAAUACCGGAUAAUAUAUUGAACCGCAUGGUUCAAUAGUGAAAGACGGUUUUGCUGUCACUUAUAGAUGGAUCCGCGCCGCAUUAGCUAGUUGGUAAGGUAACGGCUUACCAAGGCAACGAUGCGUAGCCGACCUGAGAGGGUGAUCGGCCACACUGGAACUGAGACACGGUCCAGACUCCUACGGGAGGCAGCAGUAGGGAAUCUUCCGCAAUGGGCGAAAGCCUGACGGAGCAACGCCGCGUGAGUGAUGAAGGUCUUCGGAUCGUAAAACUCUGUUAUUAGGGAAGAACAAAUGUGUAAGUAACUAUGCACGUCUUGACGGUACCUAAGCAGAAAGCCACGGCUAACUACGU
RNAcentral lists this ribosomal RNA (496 nucleotides) under uncultured bacterium. RNAcentral describes it as "partial 16S ribosomal RNA". It matches the Rfam family "Bacterial small subunit ribosomal RNA", at positions 28 to 506 of the family's 1533-position model. The record is from RNAcentral.